CCUACGGGCGGCUGCAGUGGGGAAUAUUGGACAAUGGGGGGAACCCUGAUCCAGCCAUGCCGCGUGUGUGAAGAAGGCCCUCGGGUUGUAAAGCACUUUCAGUGAGGAAGAACGCCUGGUAGUUAAUACCCAUCAGGAAAGACAUCACUCACAGAAGAAGCACCGGCUAACUCCGUGCCAGCAGCCGCGGUAAUACGGAGGGUGCGAGCGUUAAUCGGAAUUACUGGGCGUAAAGCGCGCGUAGGUGGCUUGAUAAGCCGGUUGUGAAAGCCCCGGGCUCAACCUGGGAACGGCAUCCGGAACUGUCAAGCUAGAGUGCAGGAGAGGAAGGUAGAAUUCCCGGUGUAGCGGUGAAAUGCGUAGAGAUCGGGAGGAAUACCAGUGGCGAAGGCGGCCUUCUGGACUGACACUGACACUGAGGUGCGAAAGCGUGGGUAGCAAACAGGAUUAGAUACCCGAGUAGUC
This 465-nucleotide ribosomal RNA is filed under the name Vreelandella stevensii. RNAcentral's name for it is "partial 16S ribosomal RNA". It matches the Rfam family "Bacterial small subunit ribosomal RNA", at positions 338 to 795 of the family's 1533-position model. Lineage: Bacteria; Pseudomonadati; Pseudomonadota; Gammaproteobacteria; Oceanospirillales; Halomonadaceae. The record is from RNAcentral.